Non-coding RNA from Paramuricea clavata, 82 nucleotides. The record is from the annotation of a GenBank genome assembly. NCBI's taxonomy places the organism in Eukaryota, Metazoa, Cnidaria, Anthozoa, Malacalcyonacea, Plexauridae.
CGGGCAAGCUUGAAAAAUAUGCCUGACCAAGGUCGUAAGUUCGAUUCCCACCGUGGUCAGGCAUAUUUUUCAAGCUUGCCCG